Molecule: non-coding RNA, 254 nt
Organism: Paenibacillus sp. MAEPY2
Lineage: Bacteria; Bacillati; Bacillota; Bacilli; Caryophanales; Paenibacillaceae
Source: Rfam
GAAUCAGUCUCGCUGAGUCUCCGUUAACGGAGAGCGGGGGAACCAAUAGGGCUUAAACAUCGGUGAUUGUAGCCGAUGCGCAAUAUGCGCUGACCCAAAAGCAGCGUAUAAAUCUGCGAAGCCGUAUUUGAUUUCUUCUUUGGGUCUCGGGGUGAAUUCAAGGGCGUCCGCCAUGAGCGGGUGACCGGAGAUAGGGCGGCUCUCUUUCGCCCGAACCCGACAGCUAACCUCGCAAGCGGAAAAAGAGAGGCAAC